UUUAGCAGAUAGAGUUUGAUCCUGGCUCAGGACGAACGCUGGCGGCGUGCCUAACACAUGCAAGUCGAGCGAGGCAUUUAUGCCUAGCGGCGGACGGGUGAGUAACACGUGGGUAACCUGCCUCAGAGAGGGGAAUAGCCUUCCGAAAGGAAGAUUAAUACCGCAUAAUAUAUACUUUUAGCAUUAUGAGUAUAUCAAAGGAGAAAUCCGCUUUGAGAUGGGCCCGCGGCGCAUUAGCUAGUUGGAGAGGUAACGGCUCACCAAGGCGACGAUGCGUAGCCGACCUGAGAGGGUGAUCGGCCACAUUGGAACUGAGACACGGUCCAGACUCCUACGGGAGGCAGCAGUGGGGAAUAUUGCACAAUGGGGGAAACCCUGAUGCAGCAACGCCGCGUGAAUGAUGAAGGCCUUCGGGUCGUAAAGUUCUUUGAUUGGGGACGAUAAUGACGGUACCCAAAAAACAAGCCACGGCUAACUACGUGCCAGCAGCCGCGGUAAUACGUAGGUGGCGAGCGUUGUCCGGAUUUACUGGGCGUAAAGGAUGCGUAGGUGGAAAUUUAAGUGGGAUGUGAAAUCCCCGGGCUCAACCCGGGAACUGCAUUCCAAACUGGAUAUCUAGAGUGCAGGAGAGGAAAGCGGAAUUCCUAGUGUAGCGGUGAAAUGCGUAGAUAUUAGGAAGAACACCAGUGGCGAAGGCGGCUUUCUGGACUGUAACUGACACUGAGGCAUGAAAGCGUGGGGAGCAAACAGGAUUAGAUACCCUGGUAGUCCACGCCGUAACGAUGGGUACUAGGUGUAGGGGGUAUCAACUCCCCCCUGUGCCGUCGUUAACACACUAAGUACCCCGCCUGGGGAGUACGGUCGCAAGAUUAAAACUCAAAGGAAUUGACGGGGGCCCGCACAAGCAGCGGAGCAUGUGGUUUAAUUCGAGGCAACGCGAAGAACCUUACCUAGACUUGACAUCUCCUGAAUUACCCUUAAUCGGGGAAGCCCUUCGGGGCAGGAAGACAGGUGGUGCAUGGUUGUCGUCAGCUCGUGUCGUGAGAUGUUGGGUUAAGUCCCGCAACGAGCGCAACCCUUAUUGUCAGUUGCUACCAUUAAGUUGAGCACUCUGGCAAGACUGCCCGGGUUAACCGGGAGGAAGGUGGGGAUGACGUCAAAUCAUCAUGCCCCUUACGUCUAGGGCUACACACGUGCUACAAUGGCAGGUACAAAGAGAAGCGAUCCCGCGAGGAGGAGCAAAUCUCAUAAAACCUGCCCCAGUUCAGAUUGCAGGCUGAAACUCGCCUGCAUGAAGUUGGAGUUGCUAGUAAUCGCGAAUCAGCAUGUCGCGGUGAAUACGUUCCCGGGCCUUGUACACACCGCCCGUCACACCAUGAGAGUUGGCAAUACCCGAAGUCCGUGAGGUAACUAUUUAUAGAGCCAGCGGCCGAAGGUAGGGUCAGCGAUUGGGGUGAAGUCGUAACAAGGUAGCCGUAGGAGAACCUGCGGCUGGAUCACCUCCUUA
This 1507-nucleotide ribosomal RNA is filed under the name Clostridium sp. enrichment culture clone VanCtr99. RNAcentral's name for it is "16S ribosomal RNA". It matches the Rfam family "Bacterial small subunit ribosomal RNA". The record is from RNAcentral. Lineage: Bacteria; Bacillati; Bacillota; Clostridia; Eubacteriales; Clostridiaceae.